CAAUGAGAUCUAUCUCUAAUGAUGCACAGACGCGCAUGCGCUCCACGCCAUACUGCUAGCCCCGUAUCUAAGUCAAUAUGUGCGUACAUAGAAAGGAUGCAUAACUUCUCUAUGUCGUAGCACAAGAGGGUCCAGGAUUCAGAGAUGGAGAUGGCAGCACUUUAUGGAAAUAGGAGAGCGGACAAGUGGGUCCCCCGGAGAAGAAAGAAAGAAACAUAUGUGUGGUCUAGAUUCGACUUCCCUGGUCCCAGAGAUGUGAUCGGAUAAUCUAAUAAGGAUCUGGAUAAACUCCAUGGUCAGAGAAUUUGAUAAUGAUCUGGACAGAAUCCACAAAUAUACUAGAGCCAAACGAAGAUGAACACUGGAUGUUGUGCAUUCUAUAGGGGUACAGAGGAACCGUGAUAGGCCCACAGGCCAGUGACGUAUUUAUGAACUCAUACAGGACUAAGGAGCAAGAACAAUUUUGCAUAAUACAACCUAUUGUGGAGAGGUAUGAGUGACAAAUGAACAAAUUUAUGCCUCAGAGGGAUCUCUACUUUGGAGCUAUGAAUCUCUCUUGGGAAUUGAGGAGCAGGAAUCGCGUUACUAUGUGUUGAAAAUGAACUCUCGUUUCAGAGAUUUUUCCUCUUACAGAAACUAGUUUGGAUCCAGGGACAUACUAUGACUUAAUAAUUGAUGUUCAACUGGUCCAAGGGGCAUGCUAUUGCAUGCACAAGAAUGCCUUUGUUAUUCUCACAUUGAAUGUACAACCAUUUAUUAACAUAAAUAUAAUAACAAAUUAUACAGUA
Long non-coding RNA from Hyla sarda, 788 nucleotides. RefSeq lists it as uncharacterized. NCBI's taxonomy places the organism in Eukaryota, Metazoa, Chordata, Amphibia, Anura, Hylidae. The transcript is spliced from 2 exons. The record is from RefSeq and is a predicted model, not a curated record.